CGCACAUUGCGCCCUCUGGUAUUCCGGGGGGCAUGCCUGUUCGAGCGUCAUUUCUGAACCUCAAGCUCAAGCUUGGUUUUGGGCCUUCGUCGUCUCUUUUUUAGGGGUGACUGGCUCUAAAUGCUUUGGCGACAGUUCUUCAACUCAAGCGUAGUGAAAAUUCCGUUUUGGGGUUUGAAGGCCUGUUUGCUUCUAAAGAACAAAAAUACUUUUACAAUAGAUUGACCUCGGAUCAGGUAGGGAUACCCGCUGAACUUAA
Molecule: unclassified non-coding RNA, 259 nt
Filed under: Sphinctrinaceae sp.
Lineage: Eukaryota; Fungi; Ascomycota; Eurotiomycetes; Mycocaliciales; Sphinctrinaceae
Description: partial contains 5.8S ribosomal RNA, internal transcribed spacer 2, and large subunit ribosomal RNA
Source: RNAcentral